Molecule: transfer RNA, 73 nt
Filed under: Perkinsus olseni
Lineage: Eukaryota; Perkinsozoa; Perkinsida; Perkinsidae
Description: tRNA-Lys
Rfam family: tRNA
About the family: Transfer RNA (tRNA) molecules are approximately 80 nucleotides in length. Their secondary structure includes four short double-helical elements and three loops (D, anti-codon, and T loops).
Source: RNAcentral
GCUUCGGUAGCCCAGUCGGCAGAGCGCGUGCCUUUUAAGCCCGUGGCCGCGGGUUCGAGCCCCGCCCGAGGUA